AGGGCACCACCAGGAGUGGAGCCUGCGGCUUAAUUUGACUCAACGCGGGGAAACUUACCCGGCCCGGACACCGUAAGGAUUGACAGAUUGAGAGCUCUUUCUUGAUUCGGUGGGGGGUGGUGCAUGGCCGUUCUUAGUUGGUGGAGCGAUUUGUCUGGUUAAUUCCGAUAACGAACGAGACUCUAGCCUAUUAAAUAGUCGGUAAAUCCUUUGUUUACUGUACUUCUUAGAGGGACAGAAGGCGUCUAGCCUUACGAGAUUGAGCAAUAACAGGUCUGUGAUGCCCUUAGAUGUUCGGGGCUGCACGCGCGCUACACUGAAGGAUUCAACGUGAUUUUUCACCUGUUCUGGAAAGAAUGGGUAACCCGUUGAAACUCCUUCGUGAUUGGGAUAGGGGCUUGUAAUUAUUCCCCUUGAACGAGGAAUUCCUAGUAAGUGCGGGUCACCAUCUCGCGUUGAUUACGUCCCUGCCCUUUGUACACACCGCCCGUCGCUACUACCGAUUGGAUGAUUUAGUGA
Molecule: ribosomal RNA, 519 nt
Filed under: uncultured eukaryote
Lineage: Eukaryota
Description: SSU rRNA
Rfam family: Eukaryotic small subunit ribosomal RNA
Source: RNAcentral